RNAcentral lists this ribosomal RNA (408 nucleotides) under Triticum aestivum (bread wheat). RNAcentral's name for it is "partial small subunit ribosomal RNA". Lineage: Eukaryota; Viridiplantae; Streptophyta; Magnoliopsida; Poales; Poaceae. The record is from RNAcentral.
AUGUGCCUUCAUCAACAUAAGGGUCAUUAUAUACUGAAAUUUUGGCUUAAGUCUGAACCGACCAAGCUAGUGGUAUAUUUUCCACUUACAAUGCUUACUAGCAUUCCAUGGAGACACAACGCACCUCCUAUUGCACUGAAGGAAGAAGCAUUGAUACUUGUUACAUGGUCAGAGGCACGAGAUUGUUUGGGGGAUCAAGCUUCUCAGUUAAAGUACCAUUUUAGUAUGAAGUCCAACAAAUAUAUGAGCAGUGCCUGCAAAUAUCAAACAAAAAAGCAUUUAUACCUGAAUGUCGCUAAACCGGCUUGCAGUGCCUAUACCUCCAGCAGGAACAUCAUAGGGCUGCAUGAUGAUCCCUCCAAAAUGAUCUUCAACCUUAGCAAUGUUGUUGGACGAACCUCCCAUUGA